UGUCGUCGAUGACGACCACCAAUGGUCCGGUAGCUUGAGAGGAUCGCCUUCGGGUAGCUGCAAAAACACUCCCGCAGCCUGAAAGGGAGAACGCAAAAGCGUGGUAAAUCGGCUCACCUUUGGAAGCAGAUAUCGUCUUUAAAAGCGCAC
Molecule: small RNA, 150 nt
Filed under: Duffyella gerundensis
Lineage: Bacteria; Pseudomonadati; Pseudomonadota; Gammaproteobacteria; Enterobacterales; Erwiniaceae
Description: Erwinia gerundensis STAXI RNA
Rfam family: STAXI RNA
Source: Rfam by way of RNAcentral